Xenia sp. Carnegie-2017 is the source of this 1032-nucleotide long non-coding RNA. RefSeq lists it as uncharacterized. The transcript has 2 exons. The record is from RefSeq and is a predicted model, not a curated record. Lineage: Eukaryota; Metazoa; Cnidaria; Anthozoa; Malacalcyonacea; Xeniidae.
UGAUCCCAAACACUCAAAGGAAGAUAUAUGUCUUUGUUUAAAGGACUGCUCAUUGUUCUUGCAUUCAGAAAAUAAUGACAUUAGUCUACAUCGCAUUGUUCACAAAGCAAUUAUUGUUUAUCAAUCUGAACAUUCAAAUGAAGAACAUGAAAUGGAAACUAACGUUGAUCAAAUAUCUAAAGCACUUUACAUGUUUAAAGAGAGAGACGACGAAAUCAAAUUAAUGCCACAUCUUGAAAAAAUUGUUCAAUUAUUAAAGACCAACAAGACAAAAAUCAACAUGAACACUUUACAAGUUUUCCAAUAUUUUGUUGACAGAUUAAGACAUUUUGGAAAAUACGAUCUUGCUCUUGAACUAUUGGAUAAAUUUAAAUCAGAAGAAUCUAGUUAUGACAAAGCUUGGUAUUUUAAUAUCCUUGGUCUUUUAUACCAUGACACUGGGAAGUAUAGCAAAGCUAAAAAUCAUCACGAAAAAGCUCUGGAAAUUCGAAAACAAUCGUUAGGUCCAAAUCAUGUUGAUGUCGCUAAGUCUUUAAAACAAUCUAGGUGUGUUGUAUUAUGAAACUGGAAUAUGACAAAGCUUUACAGUUACACUUUGGUAGCUACGUGUUUCAAAGAAAAUUGUGCCUUCUAAAUUAUGUUAAGCCUAUUUUUAACACAUAGACCGUAGGAGCAAGGCUUCCACCUGCCAAGUCAGCUCCCCUCUCCCUCAGAAGGUAUUUUUGGUAGUGAAUAAAACGUUUGCAAUUUGCAUUUUGUGAGGUAAAAUGAACCUAAAGAUGUAAUGAUCCUUGUCUAUAUAUUGUUUCACUGAUAUCUAGUCAAUAAACUUACUCUACAAGGAAUCAUCCUAAGUAGAACUUAGAACUGCCCAUGCCCUGAAUCUGACAUUCUUCUUUAGACUUUAUUUCUAAAGUAAUUUGCUUUUAUGUUAUAACCAAGUAGUAAUUUUAUUGUAUGAUUUACAAACAUACUAAAGUAUAUUGGGAUGACAGAAUUUUGUUAAAUAAAUACUAUCCUGUUAGUUGUUCA